UAGGGAAUCUUCCACAAUGGACGAAAGUCUGAUGGAGCAACGCCGCGUGAGUGAUGAAGGGUUUCGGCUCGUAAAACUCUGUUGUUGGAGAAGAACAGGUGAUAGAGUAACUGUUAUCAUCUUGACGGUAUCCAACCAGAAAGCCACGGCUAACUACGUGCCAGCGGCCGCGGUAAUACGUAGGUGGCAAGCGUUGUCCGGAUUUAUUGGGCGUAAAGCGAGCGCAGGCGGUUUUUUAGGUCUGAUGUGAAAGCCUUCGGCUUAACCGGAGAAGGGCAUCGGAAACCGGGAGACUUGAGUGCAGAAGAGGACAGUGGAACUCCAUGUGUAGCGGUGAAAUGCGUAGAUAUAUGGAAGAACACCAGUGGCGAAGGCGGCUGUCUGGUCUGUAACUGACGCUGAGGCUCGAAAGCAUGGGUAGCGAACAGGAUUAGAUACCCUGGUAGUCCAUGCCGUAAACGAUGAGUGCUAAGUGUUGGAGGGUUUCCGCCCUUCAGUGCUGCAGCUAACGCAUUAAGCACUCCGCCUGGGGGAGUACGACCGCAAGGUUG
Molecule: ribosomal RNA, 551 nt
Filed under: uncultured bacterium
Lineage: Bacteria
Description: partial 16S ribosomal RNA
Rfam family: Bacterial small subunit ribosomal RNA
Source: RNAcentral